Molecule: ribosomal RNA, 439 nt
Filed under: uncultured bacterium
Lineage: Bacteria
Description: partial 16S ribosomal RNA
Rfam family: Bacterial small subunit ribosomal RNA
Source: RNAcentral
CUACGGGCCGCUGCAGUGAGGAAUAUUGCACAAUGGAGGAAACUCUGAUGCAGCAACGCCGCGUGGAGGAUGACGCAUUUCGGUGUGUAAACUCCUUUUAUAUGUCAAGAAAAUGACGGUAGCAUAUGAAUAAGCUCCGGCUAACUCCGUGCCAGCAGCCGCGGUAAUACGGAGGGAGCAAGCGUUACUCGGAAUCACUGGGCGUAAAGGACGCGUAGGCGGGAUAGAAAGUCAGGUGUGAAAUCCUAUGGCUCAACCAUAGAACUGCACUUGAAACUUCUAACCUAGAGUAUGGGAGGGGAAGAUGGAAUUAGUGGUGUAGGGGUAAAAUCCGUAGAUAUCACUAGGAAUACCAAAAGCGAAGGCGAUCUUCUGGAACAAUACUGACGCUAAGGCGUGAAAGCGUGGGGAGCGAACAGGAUUAGAUACCCUUGUAGUC